This is a non-coding RNA of Manis javanica (Malayan pangolin), 4944 nucleotides long. Lineage: Eukaryota; Metazoa; Chordata; Mammalia; Pholidota; Manidae. The record is from RefSeq and is a predicted model, not a curated record.
GGGCAAGCAUUAGGACUACUCAUACAACCAGCCGGGGACUCCCUCCAGCCUGUUGCCUGUUUGUCCAGACAACUCAACCUUGUGAUAAAAGGCUGGCCUCUCUGCUUACAGAUCCUGGCAUCAGCUAUGCUCCAUAUCCCCAAAGCCCAAAAAUUGCCCUCCACCAGCCCCUAUAAGUACACUCCUCACACAACCUCUCCAACCUUCUUAGCCCCCAGCUCUAACCCUUCUCUCCCGGACCCAAGUCCAGGUCUUACACUCUCAGCUUCUACAGCCCUUGGAUACCUUCUGCUGCUCUUCUGUCCUAAACCCUGCCACCUUCCAGUACCUAAUGGUCCAGACUCCACCCCCAACAUGGGUGCACUGAGCUCCUUGAUUUCACUCUCACCCGCUUCCAUCACAUGACCUCAGAACAUAUUCCAGGAUCUCCUGUCUGGCUUAUUGAUGGGAGUGCUUCAAAGGCCACCCCCUCCCAGGCAGGGUGCGCAUCACUAAGGGCUGUCAUGAUAGCCAGCCCUCCUGCCCUCCCUGAGAAGUAACAGAGGUGGCAGCCCUCCCCAUGGGGACGACCUCACAGCAGGCAGAACUUAUCACUCACCAGAGCUCUUACUCUGGCAAAAGGUAAAACUAUCAACAUCUAUACAGACCCUAAAUACACAUAUAAUAUCCUGCAAUCACAUGCCCAGAUCUGGCACAAGAGAGGACUCCCAACAGCAAAAAACACCCCUAUGCAAAACGGACCCCUAAUUCAAGAUCUCCUAGAGGCAGCACUUCUACCCCAUAGACCUACUGUCAUUCAUCGCAAGGGCCAUCAAAGACCUAACUCGCAGGAUAAAAAUUUCAGACACAUCAUUCAUGGAAAUAACGAGGCUCAUAGAGUAGCAAAACAAGCAGCUGUCAACCCUCUCUCCAUUCCCUGCUUCCUGAUCCAUCUUAUGCCCUACUUGCCCCAAGAAUUAGCUCUACUCCAAGCACAGAGGGCACUCCAAGAACAAUGGUGGUUCCUCCAUGGAAACCUGGUCCUUCCUGAAGGCUUAGAAAAUAAAUUCCUUUCAUCUUUCCGUGACUAGUUCCAUGCCAGAUCAUUCCCUCUGCUCCAACUCCUACAGACCCACAGACAUCCUACUCCUGGUCUCAGGACCUCCCUACAGAAGAUUAUCACCCGGUGCUCCAUAUGCCAAACCACCAACCCUUAGAGCAACCUCAGACCUCCCCCCUUUCCUACCCAUCAGUUCUGGUGAUCUCUCCCUGGCCCUGACUGGCAAAUAGACUUUACCCAUAUACCUCCAGUAAAGAAACCAAGAUACCUCCUUGUCCUGGUUGACACCUUCUCCGGAUGGAUCCACAGGUCUUAAAGGCUCACCGACGUCCCCAGUGGGCCAUAACUGGUCCCUCCCAAAGUGGACUCCAUCUAACCCAACCUGCUCCUUUGUGCAUCUCCUGAGCCCAGCAAGAUCACUACACCCCAGUCGGCUCCUUAGAUCCCUCCCUCUGCAAAUCCACCAUUCAGCUUCUCCCACCUACAUUAUACAAAAGAUCCUCCAGAGCAGCACAUAUUCCAUUCACUGAAAUCAUCCCCUGCUUCGGACUCCCAACUUCUAUCCAAACCAGUAACAGACCUGAAUUCACCUCCCAGAUCACCCAACAGGUGGCCUCUUCCCUAAAUAUAACCUGGAAGUUCCUUAUUCCGUAUCGACCCCAAUCCUCAGGUAAGGUAGACAAGGCUAAUCACCUUCUCAGACAGUGCCUAACCAAGUUUUCCCUCCAGGUUCAUUUGGACUGGACUCAGCUCCUGCCCUUAGCCAGUUUUAAACUCAGGUCUCUCGUCCACAAACCUGUUAUGCUCAGCCCUUUGAGGUUCUAUAUGGAAGGCCCCUUAUUACCUUCACUUUUCCCACCUCCAACUCAAACCUACCCCUCCCUCUCUCAACUUUUUUACUUAAUACAUUUAGACAUCUCAUCUGGAACUAUGCAGACUACACCUUCCCCAAACCCUUCAACAACCCACACAACCCUCACUCCUCCAUCCUACAACCUGGAGACUGGGGAUAUAUGAAGCCCCUCAGCCUCUCCCAUGGGCUGAAACCAAAAUGGACGGGGCCCUUCUAAGUAACCCUGACUACCCCAACAGUGGCCAGUUCAAAGGUCAUUCUGGGUCCACUUUUCAUCUCUAAAAAAGGCUCCCCUUUUCCAGGGCACACCAACCAAACCCACAUCCCUGAUCACCAAGCUGUCUUCUGUGGUUGAAGAGACCGAAGACACGGCUAAACAACCCCAUGAGUCUCUCUCUUUAUAACUUUGUCCUUAUAACUUUGUCCAUUUCUUGACCGACCUAAUAGAAGAACUCUCCCAUUACUUGCCUUCCACCUCCUUAGAUACAAUAAUCAAGGACCUAUGGUUAUAGGGAACCUUCCCAGAUUUCUCCCCAAGGCAAAUCACCACCUGUACCUCCUGUAUUCUCCUGCUCCGAUCCUUUCUUUCUCAAUAUUACUUAUCCUCUUAACCCCUAACACCACAGCACAGACCCUUCCUAAAUACCUCAAUCAGACACUCUCCCACUGAUCAAAUCAUCAAACCUUCAAUGGGACUAUCCAGCCACCCUGCUGGGUCUGUCUCCACCUUUCUCAGACAGCAGACUCAGCCACCCCUGCUCUCUUUGGGACAUGCAGGGCUACACUCCACCAAGACUGUCAGUCCCAGGGGUACAGCCCAAGCUGAAGGAUCUGACAUCAGACUUCCAGGGGCACUAAAAGGUAUUGGACAGGUCUUAAAGGCUCACCGACGUCCCCAGUGGGCCAUAACUGGUCCCUCCCAAAGUGGACUCCAUCUAACCCAACCUGCUCCUUUGUGCAUCUCCUGAGCCCAGCAAGAUCACUACACCCCAGUCGGCUCCUUAGAUCCCUCCCUCUGCAAAUCCACCGUUCAGCUUCUCCCACCCUCAGAUCACCGCAAUACUAACCAUCUGGGAACUCUUACCUUUAUCUGGGUACAUUUCCUUCCAAGGCAGUCUGAAUGCCACCACAUUUAGAUAUUGCCAAGACAGGAAAAGACCCCCUAAAAGACACCCCCCUAGCCCAUGGAGGAGCCUAAGAGUGCAAACAUCUUGAUAUGCCUGAUGGCAGAAUCUUCCUAAACCAAAAGUUCACUGCUCUUAGUCAAGAGGAUCCUAUGGUAUUGGAACCAGCCUCACCUCUCUCCCCCUUCGCAGCUGCAGCUUUUAGCUUCUCCUUCCAUAUAUGGCACAAAUAGGAGGCAGUCCAACAUUUACUUCCCAACCCACCCCCAGACCUCCUCCUCUUGUCUCGGUUUGAUCUCAUGGGAUGCCUUUCCCUGGAAACAGGCAUCUUUUGGGUGUGCAGAAACAAGGCAUACAUUUGCUCGCCAACCAACCGGACCCGAGUCUGCACUCUAAGUGUCCCCACUCCCACCCUUUCUUUAGCAACAUCCGAUCUACCCAGCCUUGUCUCCCCCAAAACCCAUGUCAGGGCACAAUGUGCCAUACAGCUAGUCCCCUUAAUGGCCACCUUAAGUGCUGGGACAGGGAUUGGGGCCCUAGGAGUCUCUCUUUCAGAGUUCACCAGGCUGUCCAAAGAACUCACUGAAGGACUCAAGAGGUUUCUGACCAACUGGGACACUUACAAGGUCAAGUGGACUCCCUGGCUUCAGCUGUUCCCCCAAACCGCAGAGGCCUUGAUCUCUUCACAGCUUCCCAGGGUGGCAUGUGUACUCUACUCCAGGACCAAUGCUGCUUUUACACCAAACAAUCUGGCCUCGUUAGGGAUGGGGCAAUACGGCCUUUGUGAGCAAGCUUCCAAACGUCUUGAAGUCCCUUCUAAUAACUCGUUCCCCUUCCUCUUCAUUAGCUUCUACCUCUCCUGGCCCCGUUCGCCUUUAUCACCCUCCUCCUCCUUUUCCUUCCCUGCUUAAUUAACCUAUUCCAAAGAUUUUAACAGGAUCCAAGGGCAGCCAUCUCCCGAGCAACUACUCAGAAUGCCUCCAAACGGCCUUUCUGCUUCAAAAUAUCAGAAAACCCUUUUCAUUGCCCCUUGCAGCAGGAAGUUGUAGGGGACGGCCUUUGUCUUCCCCCAUGUCUGUACGCAGAAUAGGGAAGCACCAGCUUGAGAACAAUUGGUGCAGUCCUUGGAAGUUAUCUGCCCACAAAAACAUUUCUUGUCCUCGAAAACGAGCCAAGAUGCCUCACGCUGAAAACAGGGAGACCUUGGGGAUGUGUGCAAACACUGCACCUGCUGAGCGGGUAGAUUCUAAGAAAAUCAACAAGAUGUUCUGGCCUGUCCCCCCUGAGAAGGGAAAGAUCAGUAUAGCACUUGGCUGGGGUCCGAGAAAGGCAGUAUAAAAAUAAAGGAGCUGCGCCACAUCGGGGCUGCUGCAGCCAUUGUCUCUCUGUCUGUGCUUUUUGUUCACUCCCAUUUCACCCAAGUGAGCAGCACCCAACAUCUGGCGCCCAACGUGGGGCCCGAAUAGGGACACACCAUGGGGCAGGACCCCACAGCCCAGAAGAACAUGGGGCACGAACGACCCCACUGUGGAACAGGACCCCACAACCCUGAGGAAAUUGGAGAUAGGAUGCCAGGGGUGACUUGGGACCCAGAAGGGGGCCAACUUCGGCCAAGAAAAGAACGGUGAUGGGUCUUCCUAUACCCUUAAGAGCAGGAAUGAUAGAGCCUGGACAGGAUCACCACUGUUUUGAGUAAGUACACCAGCCAUCUCAGAGAGACCUGGGUUUCAUUUUACUUAAGCCACAAGCAUUUUCCAGAGGACUCGUCAGCAAGCCACAAGCCACAAGCCCUGCCGAGCUGCCCCCUCAAAAGCCCGCCAAAAAGAUGUUAUAAAAAGCCUCCUAACUGUAAGAGAGGCCUUUUUUGUCCUGCUUGCCAGAACACAGAGGUCCCUCUCACAUUUAGCAAUAAAUCUACUCAAACUGUU